UACACAUUUAGGCUAGCUAAUGCCAUAGGCCUAAUCCAUCGUUUAAGUCAAUCGGAUUAUGUUGGACAACUUACAUUUUUGGCAACAAGAAUUGCCAAAAAGAAACGGGUAUCAAUUAUUGCAUAAAGCUGUCAACAAUGCUGUUACUGCAAGGCAGAAUUAAUUUUUCAAACGAGUAACGAACCAGCUAGCAAUGAUCUCUUCAACAUAUUGCCUUUCUGGGAUUAAAGCACGUGUAGGCUAAACAAGAACACAAGAACACAUGAAUCUGUAUGAAUCGUCCAAGUAAUCUGCUGCCUGAAAUUGAGUUUUGCCAAGGAUGGGAUGCAAAAUUUGAAUCAAUCACAAGAAGCAAUCGAAAAUUAGUGAGCAGGGGCCUGAAUCUUCCAGAUUUCAUUAAGUUGGCCAGACUUCAUGAUGUGUGACUUGAUUUGAACUUAAACAGAGGCUGGGAAAAACUUGAACAAGAGGAUUAGAAAUCUGCCAACAAAAACGAACCUGAAGCAAAGCUGACCAAUACAUCAAACUGGCCAAACUCAAUCUGGGAAGCGGCAUCCGUUGGUGUAUGGUUAAACAAUGGCAGUCCUUGUGAACUAAUGUUUCUAAC
Molecule: long non-coding RNA, 607 nt
Filed under: Olea europaea subsp. europaea
Lineage: Eukaryota; Viridiplantae; Streptophyta; Magnoliopsida; Lamiales; Oleaceae
Source: RNAcentral